AGUAGUUCGAGUCCGUGCUACGAGGACACGCUGGCGGCGUGCCUAAUACAUGCAAGUCGAGCGGACUUUAAAAGCUUGCUUUUAAAGUUAGCGGCGGACGGGUGAGUAACACGUGGGCAACCUGCCUGUAAGACUGGGAUAACUUCGGGAAACCGGAGCUAAUACCGGAUAAUUCUUUCCACCACAUGGCGGAAAGCUGAAAGACGGUUUCGGCUGUCACUUACAGAUGGGCCCGCGGCGCAUUAGCUAGUUGGUGAGGUAACGGCUCACCAAGGCAACGAUGCGUAGCCGACCUGAGAGGGUGAUCGGCCACACUGGGACUGAGACACGGCCCAGACUCCUACGGGAGGCAGCAGUAGGGGAUCUUCCGCAAUGGACGAAAGUCUGACGGAGCAACGCCGCGUGAGUGAUGAAGGUUUUCGGAUCGUAAAGCUCUGUUGUUAGGGAAGAACAAGUACAAGAGUAACUGCUUGUACCUUGACGGUACCUAACCAGAAAGCCACGGCUAACUACGUG
RNAcentral lists this ribosomal RNA (516 nucleotides) under uncultured Bacillaceae bacterium. RNAcentral's name for it is "bacterial SSU rRNA". It matches the Rfam family "Bacterial small subunit ribosomal RNA", at positions 1 to 507 of the family's 1533-position model. Lineage: Bacteria; Bacillati; Bacillota; Bacilli; Caryophanales; Bacillaceae. The record is from RNAcentral.